Long non-coding RNA from Populus euphratica (Euphrates poplar), 1186 nucleotides. RefSeq lists it as uncharacterized. The transcript is spliced from 3 exons. Lineage: Eukaryota; Viridiplantae; Streptophyta; Magnoliopsida; Malpighiales; Salicaceae. The record is from RefSeq and is a predicted model, not a curated record.
UUUCUAUCUGUUUUCUACUUUUUUAUUAUAUUUUAUUGUUCUUCUCUGUGUUUUUUUUUCCCAUUCAUAAAUGGCCUGCGUUCGAUUUCUAUCUGCUCUCUACUUCUAUUUCGGGCAGUCAAAAGAGAGAGAUUCCUGAUGUUGUGAUUGAAUUUUAAGUAAACAAACAGUAAAAUUUUAUUGUAAAUUAUUAGGAAUGAUUUAUAUUUAUGUUUGCUUCUUUAUCAUUUGUAGUUCCAUGGGUGGAUUCCAUCUAUAUCGUUCCGAGCUUGAUGCAAUGGAGGCUAAGCUUGCUUCAUGGUCGUUUGCUUUUGUUUUUGAAACUUUUUCAAAUGUAUCGCAGUGUCAGCUAUCACUCUUGAAACUUAUAUACAGAAAGGCAUAUAGUUUUAAAGAGACACAUUUUACAAGGAAAGCCUCCAGAUGUUUCAAAAUGGCGGGUAAGCCUCACUUUGUUGUCAUCUUCAAACUUGGUUUUUUUUGGAUUGCUGGUUUCUCUACAUCAAUCUUACUUUCUUGAUUGUAAAUGUAACGUGGAAUUAAAUUCAUCUGCAGAUAGGACAACGAGCAGCGUAAUGCAGAGCUGAUUAUCAAGUCAAAGAAAAAUGCAGAUUUAGUAAUCAGGUCUAUCAAUUUCUAGAAUUGAUGUGAUGAAUUAAUGGAGAAAGAGAAAUGAGAUCACAUUUUCCUGUUAGGCGUUAACUUAAUGGAAACUGAAAAAAUGAAUAAAUAAAUGAAGGAUAUGGCUGCUUCUUUUUUCUCCUUGCUUCUAACAUUUUCAUUCACAUGUUCAUUUGCUACUUCAAGAUUCAGACCAACCAAGUUAUUCAAAAUGCAGUUUUUAUAGAAGCAAGCUAAUGCCUGGUUCCCUUUAUAGUUUGUACAGAGAGAAGUCAAUAGACUGUAAAACUUGAUUCCUUUGGGCACCUAACACGGGAAAUUGUGAUCUGAUUAAUUGAUUUGUGGCACAUAGUUGGAAACUACUUUAGUUGCUUGUUAAGCAUAAUAGCCUCUCACUGACCAAGUAAAUAAUUGCUGUACAAAGAGAUGCCUUGAUUGUUUUACAGAUAAUGCGUUGCAAAAUGUUUCAGGACUGAGUGCAACUACAAGGAUACCGAAGAAGAACAAGCGAAGGGUACCGCAAGAUUUUACAAAUUAAUAUUACAGACAUGUUUGUUUCUUGACA